Molecule: ribosomal RNA, 450 nt
Filed under: Metschnikowia sp. UWOPS04-226.1
Lineage: Eukaryota; Fungi; Ascomycota; Pichiomycetes; Serinales; Metschnikowiaceae
Description: LSU rRNA
Rfam family: Eukaryotic large subunit ribosomal RNA
Source: RNAcentral
UACCCGCUGAACUUAAGCAUAUCAAUAAGCGGAGGAAAAGAAACCAACAGGGAUUACCUUAGUAACGGCGAGUGAAGCGGUAAAAGCUCAAAUUUGAAAUCUUCGGAAUUGUAAUUUGAUGGAUAAAAUUGCUCUUGACGAAAGUCCAUUGGAAGAUGGCGCCAUAGAGGGUGAUAGCCCCGUAACGUCUCCUUGCACUAUAAUUUUAUUCCAAAGAGUCGGGUUGUUUGGGAAUGCAGCUCAAAGUGGGUGGUAAAUUCCAUCUAAAGCUAAAUAUUGACGAGAGACCGAUAGCGAACAAGUACAGUGAUGGAAAGAUGAAAAGAACUUUGAAAAGAGAGUGAAAUAGUACGUGAAAUUGUUGAAAGGGAAGGGGAGGGAAGAUGUUAAAGGGACUCCUUGCUUUUGCAGGGAUCCCCCCAAAAGUCUUUCCUCUCGCCCGUCUUGAAA